Molecule: ribosomal RNA, 896 nt
Filed under: uncultured archaeon
Lineage: Archaea
Description: bacterial SSU rRNA
Rfam family: Archaeal small subunit ribosomal RNA
Source: RNAcentral
CCCGACUGCUAUUUGGGUGAGAAUAAGCCAUGCGAGUUGAAUGGGAUACCUAAAGUUCCCAUAGCAAACUGCUCAGUAACACAUGAUCAACUUACCCUAUAGAGAAAAAUAACCUCGGGAAACUGAGGAUAAUGUUUCAUAAUUGAAUUGGCUUGGAAAAGUUUUUCAAUGAAAAGGAUAAAAAAAAUGGUUUUUAUCUGCUAUAGGAUAGGAUCGUGUUCGAUUAUGGUUGUUGGUGAGAUAAUGGCUCACCAAGCCGAUAAUCGAUAGGGGCCGUGAGAGCGGGAGCCCCGAGAUGGGUACUGAGACAACGACCCAGGCCUUACGAGGCGCAGCAGGCGCGGAACCUCCGCAAUACACGAAAGUGUGACGGGGUUACCCAAAGUGUUCAAUUUGAACUGUGGUAGGUGAGUAAUGUCCCCUACUAGAAAGGAGAGGGCAAGGCUGGUGCCAGCCGCCGCGGUAAAACCAGCUCUUCAAGUGGUCGGGAUAAUAUUGGGCUUAAAGUGUCCGUAGCCGGUUUAGUAAGUUCCUGGUAAAAUCGGGUAGCUUAACUAUCUGCAUGCUAGGAAUACUGCUAUACUAGAGGGCGGGAGAGGUCUGAGGUACUGCAGGGGUAGGGGUGAAAUCUUAUAAUCCUUGUAGGACCACCAGUGGCGAAGGCGUCAGACUGGAACGCGCCUGACGGUGAGGGACGAAAGCCAGGGGAGCGAACCAGAUUAGAUACCCGGGUAGUCCUGGCCGUAAACGAUGCAUACUAGGUGAUGGUACGGCCAUGAGCCGUAUCAGUGCCGUAGGGAAACCGUUAAGUGUGCCGCCUGGGAAGUACGGUCGCAAGGCUAAAACUUAAAGGAAUUGGCGGGGGAGCACCACAACGGGGUGAAGCCUGCGGUUCA